GACAGAGGGGGCAAGCGUUGCUCGGAAUUACUGGGCGUAAAGGGCGCGUAGGCGGGAUGGCAAGUCGGUCGUGAAAUCCUUCGGCUCAACCGAAGAACGUCGAUCGAUACUGCUGUUCUUGAGGGUUGCAGAGGAGACUGGAAUUCCCGGUGUAGCGGUGAAAUGUGUAGAGAUCGGGAGGAACACCAGAGGCGAAGGCGGCCUACUGGGCCAGUACUGACGCUGAGCCGCGAAAGCCAGGGGAGCGAACGGG
RNAcentral lists this ribosomal RNA (253 nucleotides) under uncultured bacterium. RNAcentral's name for it is "partial 16S ribosomal RNA". It matches the Rfam family "Bacterial small subunit ribosomal RNA", at positions 524 to 776 of the family's 1533-position model. The record is from RNAcentral.